Molecule: ribosomal RNA, 406 nt
Filed under: uncultured bacterium
Lineage: Bacteria
Description: partial 16S ribosomal RNA
Rfam family: Bacterial small subunit ribosomal RNA
Source: RNAcentral
AUUGAACGCUUGCGGCAGGCCUAACACAUGCAAGUCGAACGAGUGGCGGACGGGUGAGUAAUGUCUGGGACACUGCCCGAUGGAGGGGGAUACCUACUGGAAACGGUAGCUAAUACCGCAUACACUCGGAUGUGCCCAGAUGGGAUUAGCUAGUAGGUGGGGUAAUGGCUCACCUAGGCGAAGAUCCCUAGCUGGUCUGAGAGGAUGACCAGCCACAGUGGAACUGAGAAACGGUCCAGACUCCUACGGGAGGCAGCAGUGGGGAAUAUUGCACAAUGGGCGCAAGCCUGAUGCAGCCAUGCCGCGUGUAUGAAGAAGUCCUUCGGGUUGUAAAGUACUUUCAGCGGGGAGGCGUUACCCGCAGAAGAAGCAACGGCUAACUCCGUGCCAGCAGCCGCGGUAAUAC